GCCGGCAAGGCACAAUGGUCAAGUGCUCGACCAGAUAUCAUACAGGUCGUGGGUUCGAAUCCCACUGCAGGGG
RNAcentral lists this transfer RNA (73 nucleotides) under Orchesella cincta. It matches the Rfam family "tRNA". From Rfam's summary of the family: Transfer RNA (tRNA) molecules are approximately 80 nucleotides in length. Their secondary structure includes four short double-helical elements and three loops (D, anti-codon, and T loops). The record is from Rfam by way of RNAcentral. Lineage: Eukaryota; Metazoa; Arthropoda; Collembola; Entomobryomorpha; Orchesellidae.